This 459-nucleotide ribosomal RNA is filed under the name uncultured bacterium. Its description in RNAcentral is "partial 16S ribosomal RNA". It matches the Rfam family "Bacterial small subunit ribosomal RNA", at positions 338 to 795 of the family's 1533-position model. The record is from RNAcentral.
CCUACGGGAGGCAGCAGUGAGGAAUAUUGGUCAAUGGUCGGGAGACUGAACCAGCCAAGCCGCGUGAGGGAGGAAGGUACAGAGUAUCGUAAACCUCUUUUGUCAGGGAACAAAGUCUGGGACGCGUCCCCGGAUGAGUGUACCUGAAGAAAAAGCAUCGGCUAACUCCGUGCCAGCAGCCGCGGUAAUACGGAGGAUGCGAGCGUUAUCCGGAUUUAUUGGGUUUAAUGGGUGCGCGGGCGCUCUGUUAAGUCAGCGGUCAAACCCCGGGGCUCAACCCCGCAGCGCCGUUGAAACUGGCAGUCUCGAGUUGGAGAGAAGUAUGCGGAAUGUGCGGUGUAGCGGUGAAAUGCAUAGAUAUCGCGCAGAACUCCGAUUGCGAAGGCAGCCUGCCGGCUCCACACUGACGCUGAGGCACGAAAGCGUGGGUAUCGAACAGGAUUAGAUACCCUAGUAGUC